RNAcentral lists this ribosomal RNA (772 nucleotides) under Candidatus Bathyarchaeota archaeon. RNAcentral describes it as "bacterial SSU rRNA". It matches the Rfam family "Archaeal small subunit ribosomal RNA", at positions 1 to 746 of the family's 1478-position model. Lineage: Archaea; Thermoproteati; Candidatus Bathyarchaeota. The record is from RNAcentral.
UAAAUCCGGUUGAUCCUGCCGGACCCUACUGCUAUCGGGGUGGGACUAAGACAUGCGAGUUGAGCGUCUCUAAGCCAUGGUAGAGACGCGGCGUACGGCUCAGUAACACGUGGCUAACCUACCCUUAGGACGGGGACAACCCCGGGAAACUGGGGCUAAUACCCGAUAGGCGAGGAGGCCUGGAAUGGUUCUUAGUCGAAAAGGCGUUGAAACCAUGCUUUUCGACGUCGCCUAAGGAUGGGGCCGCGCCCGAUCAGGUUGUUGGUGAGGUAACGGCUCACCAAGCCUAUAACCGGUACGGGCCGUGAGAGCGGGAGCCCGGAGAUGGGCACUGAGACAAGGGCCCAGGCCCUACGGGGCGCAGCAGUCGCGAAAACUCCGCAAUGCGCGAAAGCGUGACGGGGCUACCCCGAGUGCCAUCCGCUGAGGAUGGCUUUUCUCCGGUGUAAUGAGCCGGGGGAAUAAGGAGAGGGCAAGCCUGGUGUCAGCCGCCGCGGUAAUACCAGCUCUCCGAGUGGUGGGGAUGUUUAUUGGGCCUAAAGCAUUCGUAGCCUGCUUGGCAAGUCCUCCGUUAAAUCCAACGAUUCAAUCGUUGGGCUGCGGGGGAUACUGUCCAGCUAGGGGGCGGGAGAGGCCGACGGUAUCCCCGGGGUAGGGGUGAAAUCCUAUAAUCCCGGGAGGACCACCAGUGGCGAAGGCUGUCGGCUAGAACGCGCUCGACGGUGAGGGAUGAAAGCUGGGGGAGCGAACCGGAUUAGAUACCCGGGUAGUC